CAGAAAUAGGGGUACAGUAGGGGUCCAUUUCUGUCCCCCAAGGUACAAUCUACACAAAAGUACCCCAUAGGGCUCAUUAUUGGACCUUAAGGUACAUGUAUGUACCUUUUUGAGGGUCAAAAAGGUACAUAUUUGUUCCCAACCAUUAAAAGGUACAUAUAUGUACCAUUUCUUUUAAUGAAUAAGGUACAAUGUUAAGAGACAGCCUCUGUCAUUUUUUUUUAAUUGUUGUUCUAGACAACUGCUGUAAAUAACCAUUGUAACCAUUGUGUCAAUUUUUGUUUCCUUUAGUUGGGCACAUGGGUCUUGAAGUAGUUUUAGUUUUCUUCUGUUCAUUGACAGUGUGUUUAAUUUAAAAUUUUAAUUAAAAAAAAGUUAAUUUCACUUAUUAAAACUGUGAUAUGAACUCAAAAACUGCAAUUGAUUAACCAUAACUUAAACUGAAUAAAUACUGAAUCCCUCACACAUCCACCUGAAGAAAUGCGCUUUUAUUUUGACACGCGCCCAUCCCCCACAUCUCACGGUCGGAGUUGAGCUUCACAGAGCAGCGCAACAGGAGGACGACACGACAGACAUGAAGAGCAUUAGUUCAGCGCAAACGUUUCCCGCGCAAGUUUGAAUCUCUCUCAGUCAGGGGGGAUUGACUGACAGACGAACGUUACUCUACCAAACGGUUAUUCACUUAUAAAACCUUUUAAAGUUUAGCGCUAACGUUUCCAGCGCAAGUUUGAAUCUCUCUCAGUCAGGGGGGAUUGACUGACAGACGAACGUUACUCUACCGAACGGUUAUUCACUUAUAAAACCUUUUAAAGUUUAGCGCAAAUGUUUCCCGCGCAGGUUUGAAUCUCUCUCAGUCAGGGGGGAGAUUGACUGACAGACUAAUGUUACUCUCUACCAAAUGGCUAUUCACUUAUAAAACCUUUUAAAGUUUAGCGCUAACGUUUCCAGCGCAAGUUUGAAUCUCUCUCAGUCAGGGGGGAGAUUGACUGACAGACUAACGUUACUCUACCAAACGGUUAUUCACUUAUAAAACCUUUUAAAGUUUAGCGCAAAUGUUUCCUGUGCAAGUUUGAAUCUCUCUCAGUCAGGGGGGAGAUUGACUGACAGACUAACGUUACUCUUUACCAAACGGUUAUUCACUUAUAAAACCUUUUAAAGUUUAGCGCAAAUGUUUCCCGCGCAGGUUUGAAUCUCUCUCAGUCAGGGGGGAGAUUGACUGACAGACUAAUGUUACUCUCUACCAAAUGGCUAUUCACUUAUAAAACCUUUUAAAGUUUAGCGCUAACGUUUCCAGCGCAAGUUUGAAUCUCUCUCAGUCAGGGGGGAGAUUGACUGACAGACUAACGUUACUCUACCAAACGGUUAUUCACUUAUAAAACCUUUUAAAGUUUAGCGCAAAUGUUUCCUGUUCAAGUUUGAAUCUCUCUCAGUCAGGGGGGAGAUUGACUGACAGACUAACGUUACUCUUUACCAAACGGUUAUUCACUUAUAAAACCUUUUAAAGUUUAGCGCAAAUGUUUCCUGUGCAAGUUUGAAUCUCUCUCAGUCAGGGGGGAGAUUGACUGACAGACUAACGUUACUCUCUACCAAAUGGCUAUUCACUUAUAAAACCUUUUAAAGUUUAGCGCUAACGUUUCCAGCGCAAGUUUGAAUCUCUCUCAGUCAGUCAGGGGGGAGAUUGACUGACUGACUGACUACUCGCCACCAAACUGUCAUUUACCCAGAAACCUUUUAAAGUUUAGCACAAACGUUUCCUGCACAAGUUUGAAUCUCUCUGUCAGGGGGGAGAUUGACUGACUGACUGACUACUCGGCACCAAACAGUUAUUUACCCAGAAACCUUUUAAAGUUUAGCACAAGCGUUUCCCGCGCAAGUUUGGAUCUUUACCAUUCAGGAGACUGGCUGACUGUUCUCAACUAACCAUCAUUCACAUGCAAAAACUUUAAAGAUAAGUAUGAAAGUGCCCAGAGCAGUUUUCGAUGUUUACCAUUAAGGAGGCUGACUGACUAUCAUCUACCACCCGUCAUUAACACAACAAAAACUAAAGAAAUAUUACUCCAUAUGGACCUAUUCAUUUACUCAUUAUGCUGUGAGUACACCACAGUUUUAUCAGUGAAAAAAAUUAUAUUUGUGUGUUUUCUCACUGCUUGGCAUGGACAGAUGUGGCCCUGUUAAAAAUGUUUAAAUGUUGUUUGGUUUAAGGAACAGCACACUGAUUUUGUUAUAAAAUAUUCCUGUUUGGACAGUCUGUUAAAGUCAUAAAGGAAUGGUUGAUAUAUUUCAUAAGGAAAGUGUAAAUGUAAUAUUAGUUUUUAAUGUUGUGAAUUUGGACUGAACAACACACUUCUGUUUUAAAUCUAAACCUUUUGUAAAAUAAAUGAUUAAUCAAUAAA
Misgurnus anguillicaudatus (oriental weatherfish) is the source of this 2393-nucleotide non-coding RNA. Lineage: Eukaryota; Metazoa; Chordata; Actinopteri; Cypriniformes; Cobitidae. The record is from RefSeq and is a predicted model, not a curated record.